RNAcentral lists this ribosomal RNA (469 nucleotides) under uncultured Alphaproteobacteria bacterium. RNAcentral's name for it is "bacterial SSU rRNA". It matches the Rfam family "Bacterial small subunit ribosomal RNA", at positions 9 to 524 of the family's 1533-position model. Lineage: Bacteria; Pseudomonadati; Pseudomonadota; Alphaproteobacteria. The record is from RNAcentral.
GAGUUUGAUCAUGGCUCAGAACGAACGCUGGCGGCAGGCCUAACACAUGCAAGUCGAACACUCCAGCAAUGGAGAGUGGCAGACGGGUGAGUAACACGUGGGAACCUUCCCUUUGGUUCGGAAUAGCCCAGGGAAACUUGGGGUAAUACCGGAUAAGCCCUUACGGGGAAAGAUUUAUCGCCGAAGGAUGGGCCCGCGUCGGAUUAGCUAGUUGGUGGGGUAACGGCCUACCAAGGCGACGAUCCGUAGCUGGUCUGAGAGGAUGAUCAGCCACACUGGGACUGAGACACGGCCCAGACUCCUACGGGAGGCAGCAGUGGGGAAUAUUGGACAAUGGGCGCAAGCCUGAUCCAGCCAUGCCGCGUGAGUGACGAAGGCCUUAGGGUUGUAAAGCUCUUUUGGCGGGGAAGAUAAUGACGGUACCCGCAGAAUAAGCUCCGGCUAACUUCGUGCCAGCCGCCGCAGUAAU